Molecule: ribosomal RNA, 406 nt
Filed under: uncultured bacterium
Lineage: Bacteria
Description: bacterial SSU rRNA
Rfam family: Bacterial small subunit ribosomal RNA
Source: RNAcentral
GUGGGGAAUAUUGCACAAUGGAGGAAACUCUGAUGCAGCGACGCCGCGUGAGUGAAGAAGUAUUUCGGUAUGUAAAGCUCUAUCAGCAGGGAAGAAGACGACGGUACCUGACUAAGAAGCCCCGGCUAACUACGUGCCAGCAGCCGCGGUAAUACGUAGGGGGCAAGCGUUAUCCGGAUUUACUGGGUGUAAAGGGAGCGUAGACGGUUCAGCAAGUCUGAAGUGAAAGGCGGGGGCUCAACCCCCGGACUGCUUUGGAAACUGUCGGACUAGAGUACCGGAGGGGUAAGCGGAAUUCCUGGUGUAGCGGUGAAAUGCGUAGAUAUCAGGAGGAACACCGGUGGCGAAGGCGGCUUACUGGACGGCAACUGACGUUGAGGCUCGAAAGCGUGGGGAGCAAACAGGA